GCUGUGUCUAAAAACUUAGUUUAAACUAACUUAAAGGUGAAGAGGCCUUUAUAAGAAAGAAGGACGACAAGACCCUAUGAAGCUUCAUCUUAUUAGGGAUUUGAAAGAUCCUUAUACGAUUUUGAUGGGAGAUCAGUAAAAAUAAGUCUUUUACCAUUAUUUUUAUCUUACAAGUGUUUCCUAAUUUUAUAUGUGUGACUAGCUACUCUAGGGAUAACAGCGCAAUUUCUCCCGAAAGAUGGUAUUGGAGGGGAAGAUUGCGACCUCGAUGUUGGC
RNAcentral lists this ribosomal RNA (276 nucleotides) under Mytilus coruscus. Its description in RNAcentral is "partial 16S ribosomal RNA". It matches the Rfam family "Bacterial large subunit ribosomal RNA", at positions 2015 to 2536 of the family's 2925-position model. Lineage: Eukaryota; Metazoa; Mollusca; Bivalvia; Mytilida; Mytilidae. The record is from RNAcentral.